RNAcentral lists this ribosomal RNA (253 nucleotides) under uncultured bacterium. RNAcentral's name for it is "partial 16S ribosomal RNA". It matches the Rfam family "Bacterial small subunit ribosomal RNA", at positions 524 to 776 of the family's 1533-position model. The record is from RNAcentral.
UACGUAGGGUGCGAGCGUUAAUCGGAAUUACUGGGCGUAAAGCGUGCGCAGGCGGUUUUGUAAGACAGAUGUGAAAUCCCCGGGCUUAACUUGGGAAUUGCGCUUGUGACUGGCGUGCUGGAGUGUGGCAGAGGGAGGUGGAAUUCCACGUGUAGCAGUGAAAUGCGUAGAGAUGUGGAGGAGCACCGAUGGCGAAGGCAGCCUCCUGGGCCAGCACUGACGCUCAUGCACGAAAGCGUGGGGAGCAAACAGG